This 406-nucleotide ribosomal RNA is filed under the name uncultured bacterium. RNAcentral describes it as "partial 16S ribosomal RNA". It matches the Rfam family "Bacterial small subunit ribosomal RNA", at positions 30 to 526 of the family's 1533-position model. The record is from RNAcentral.
AUUGAACGCUGGCGGCAGGCUUAACACAUGCAAGUCGAGCGAGCGGCGGACGGGUGAGUAAUGUCUGGGAAACUGCCUGAUGGAGGGGGAUAACUACUGGAACCGGUAGCUAAUACCGCAUACCAUCAGAUGUGCCCAGAUGGGAUUAGCUAGGAGGUGGGGUAAUGGCUCACCUAGGCGACGAUCCCUAGCUGGGCUGAGAGGAUGACCAGCCACACUGGAACUGAGACACGGCCCAGACUCCGAGGGGAGGAAGCAGUGGGGAAUAUUGCACAAUGGGCGCAAGCCUGAUGCAGCCAUGCCGCGUGUGUGAAGAAGGCCUUCGGGUUGUAAAGCACUUUCAGCGAGGAGUCGUUACUCGCAGAAGAAUCACCGGCUAACGCCGUGCCAGCAGCCGCGGUAAUUC